AAAACCACUAAACAGAGGCCCAGUGCACCUAGCCCACUAACCUAAACCUAAUGGCCCAAUGGCCCAACACUGAAAGACAGUUAAUAGAAAACCCUAGCAAGCUAUCGCGCCGCAAUCGAACACAGGCUCUGCCCUCGUACAUGCACCACCGUCGCGUACCACACCUCCCUACAUGCCACGUCCACCACCUCCAUACACCAACUGGUCUCCGUACCUGCAAAGAAGAUGAAAACAACACAGCAAAACAACAACAACAAUAGGCCAGCAUAUAAAAAAACGGAAGAAAUAAUAGAAAAAGGAGAAGAAAAGGAUAAAACCAUUUUUGUAAUAUUCGGAAAUAUAAAAAGCCAAUUGAUUCAUUCUUGUAAGGUUACAUACACGAAUAUGGAAUAGAAAAAAAGGGAUUCAGAUAAAAAAAAGGUGAUUUUGAGUUUUUUUCUUCUUCGCUCCUCUCGAUUUUUCUUUUUUCCGACUUUUAGAUUUCAUUUUCUUUUAUUUACUGUUUAAGAAAGGGAAACGAAAGGAAGGUGAAGGUUUUUACCUUUGUGGGGAAGUCAAACCCUCGUCCUCUUCAUCGUAAUAGGAGAUAGGGCGAGGAAUCGGGGCCUCCAAGCGUCGGUUGGGCGAACGGCG
Molecule: long non-coding RNA, 633 nt
Filed under: Gossypium raimondii (Peruvian cotton)
Lineage: Eukaryota; Viridiplantae; Streptophyta; Magnoliopsida; Malvales; Malvaceae
Description: long non-coding RNA (GRAI_LNC009425)
Source: RNAcentral